RNAcentral lists this ribosomal RNA (591 nucleotides) under Penicillium chrysogenum. Its description in RNAcentral is "eukaryotic LSU rRNA". The stretch from base 257 to 409 matches the Rfam family "5.8S ribosomal RNA". The record is from RNAcentral. Lineage: Eukaryota; Fungi; Ascomycota; Eurotiomycetes; Eurotiales; Aspergillaceae.
CCCCCGGGUGGGAGGUUGGACCCAGAGGGCCCUCACUCGGUAAUGAUCCUUCCGUAGGUGAACCUGCGGAAGGAUCAUUACCGAGUGAGGGCCCUCUGGGUCCAACCUCCCACCCGUGUUUAUUUUACCUUGUUGCUUCGGCGGGCCCGCCUUAACUGGCCGCCGGGGGGCUUACGCCCCCGGGCCCGCGCCCGCCGAAGACACCCUCGAACUCUGUCUGAAGAUUGUAGUCUGAGUGAAAAUAUAAAUUAUUUAAAACUUUCAACAACGGAUCUCUUGGUUCCGGCAUCGAUGAAGAACGCAGCGAAAUGCGAUACGUAAUGUGAAUUGCAAAUUCAGUGAAUCAUCGAGUCUUUGAACGCACAUUGCGCCCCCUGGUAUUCCGGGGGGCAUGCCUGUCCGAGCGUCAUUUCUGCCCUCAAGCACGGCUUGUGUGUUGGGCCCCGUCCUCCGAUCCCGGGGGACGGGCCCGAAAGGCAGCGGCGGCACCGCGUCCGGUCCUCGAGCGUAUGGGGCUUUGUCACCCGCUCUGUAGGCCCGGCCGGCGCUUGCCGAUCAACCCAAAUUUUUAUCCAGGUGACCUCGGAUCAG